GGGUCAGGCUUGGGUGCCCAUGUGUUUCCCAAUUACCUGGUUCCAUGUGGGGGCUUCAUGGACAGGAGUGGUGCUUUUCCAGGCCUCUUUUCCAUAUGCCAGCUACAGGCCCAGGUUUCCCAAGUUUCUGGAGCCCCUCUUCCAGCCUGGCAAGCAUGGCAUGUUGUAGGGGAAGGACAUCAAGCCUACAGGCAGCAGAACCUGUCUGGUUUUGCAGGACCUGGGUGAUCACCCAAGGAGUGAAAAUGGCCUUUUUAUGAGAAAUUGCCAAAAUUGAUGCAAGCUCAUCAGUCGAAAAGGUAGAAAUAUCGUUUGACUUCUGUUUUGCUGACAAGAAAUGUGGUCCUGACAAGGCUACCUGGGACCAUGACCUCACAGAAAACGCUGGAGCCCAUCUGUUUCCAAUCUGCUGUUUUCCAAAAAUUAGGGAAGUUCAGCUUUCCCUUUGAUACUCUCUGUUUCUAACAACCCCAAUGCCGGGGCUGUCCUGCUUCUACAAGUGACAAUGACAAAUAUAGACCUGAAGGAAGAUGAGCUGAUGGCAUUCCCAGCUUAUUACCACUCCUUGGGGGCCUUAUCUCACAUACAUGGAUUCAACUCAUAGACUCAGCUGGGCUGCUGUGGUUUUCUGGGGGUCCACUCUUGAUCUUCAUCACCUCAGUCUUUCCUGCAUCUGGAGGUAUCACCAGUGAAGGCUGCGAAACAGCAAAGAUGGCAGCCUGAUCUUUCCUCUGGGAGCACCAGUCCAAGGGGGUACUGACUUAAU
This is a long non-coding RNA of Symphalangus syndactylus (siamang), 766 nucleotides long. RefSeq lists it as uncharacterized. The record is from RefSeq and is a predicted model, not a curated record. Lineage: Eukaryota; Metazoa; Chordata; Mammalia; Primates; Hylobatidae.